This 269-nucleotide ribosomal RNA is filed under the name uncultured bacterium. RNAcentral's name for it is "partial 16S ribosomal RNA". It matches the Rfam family "Bacterial small subunit ribosomal RNA", at positions 86 to 353 of the family's 1533-position model. The record is from RNAcentral.
AGAUGGCGACCGGCGCACGGGUGAGUAACACGUAUCCAACCUGCCGAUAACUCGGGGAUAGCCUUUCGAAAGAAAGAUUAAUACCCGAUGGCAUAAUAGAACCGCAUGGUUUGAUUAUUAAAGAAUUUCGGUUAUCGAUGGGGAUGCGUUCCAUUAGGCAGUUGGUGGGGGUAACGGCCCACCAAACCUUCGAUGGAUAGGGGUUCUGAGAGGAAGGUCCCCCACAUUGGAACUGAGACACGGUCCAAACUCCUACGGGAGGCAGCAUG